AUACGAAGGGGGCAAGCGUUGUUGGGAAUAACUGGGCGUAAAGGGCACGUAGGCGGUUGUAUGCGUCAGAUGUGAAAGACCUGGGCUUAACCUAGGAAUUGCAUCUGAAACGGUACAACUAGAGAUCGAGAGGGGAAAAGGGAAUUGUGAGUGUAGAGGUGAAAUUCGUAGAUAUUCACAGGAACACCGGUGGCGAAGGCGCUUUUCUGGCUCGAAACUGACGCUAAGGUGCGAAAGCGUGGGGAGCAAACAGGAUUAGAAACCCCGUAGUCC
This 273-nucleotide ribosomal RNA is filed under the name uncultured bacterium. Its description in RNAcentral is "partial 16S ribosomal RNA". It matches the Rfam family "Bacterial small subunit ribosomal RNA", at positions 523 to 796 of the family's 1533-position model. The record is from RNAcentral.